UCUUGGUUCAGGACGAACGCUGGCGGCGUGCCUAACACAUGCAAGUCGAACGGAGUAAGGGUUUCGAUUCUUACUUAGUGGCGAACGGGUGAGUAACGCGUGAACAACCUGCCUUCCUGAGGGGGAUAACACCUGGAAACAAGUGCUAAUACCGCAUAAGACCACAUAUCCGCAUGGAUGAGGGGUCAAAGGAGCAAUCCGCAGGGAGAGGGGUUCGCGUCCCAUUAGCUAGUUGGCGGGGCAACGGCCCACCAAGGCGACGAUGGGUAGCCGAGCUGAGAGGCUGAUCGGCCACACUGGAACUGAGACACGGUCCAGACUCCUACGGGAGGCAGCAGUGGGGAAUAUUGGGCAAUGGGCGCAAGCCUGAACCCCCAGCAACGCCGCGUGAGGGAAGAAGGUCUUCGGAUUGUAAACCUCUGUCCUAUGUGACGAAGGAAGUGACGGUAGCAUAGGAGGGAGCCCCGGCUAACUACGUGCCAGCAGCCGC
Molecule: ribosomal RNA, 490 nt
Filed under: uncultured bacterium
Lineage: Bacteria
Description: bacterial SSU rRNA
Rfam family: Bacterial small subunit ribosomal RNA
Source: RNAcentral